This 492-nucleotide ribosomal RNA is filed under the name uncultured bacterium. RNAcentral's name for it is "partial 16S ribosomal RNA". It matches the Rfam family "Bacterial small subunit ribosomal RNA", at positions 29 to 507 of the family's 1533-position model. The record is from RNAcentral.
AGUGAACGCUGGCGGUAGGCCUAACACAUGCAAGUCGAACGGCAGCACAGUAAGAGCUUGCUCUUACGGGUGGCGAGUGGCGGACGGGUGAGGAAUACAUCGGAAUCUACUUUUUCGUGGGGGAUAACGGAGGAACACUUACGCUAAUACCGCAUACGACCUACGGGUGAAAGCAGGGGAUCUUCGGACCUUGCGCGAUUGAAUGAGCCGAUGUCGGAUUAGCUAGUUGGCGAGGUAAAGGCCCACCAAGGCGACGAUGCGUAGCUGGCCUGAGAGGGUGGUCAGCCACACGGGAACUGAGACACGGUCCAGACUCCUGCGGGAGGCAGCAGUAGGGAAUCUUCGGCGAUGGGCGGAAGCCUGACGGCGCCACGCCGCGGGAGUGAAAAAGGUCUUCGGAUUGUAAAACUCUUUUAUUAGGGAAGAAAAAAUGUGUAAGUAACUACGCCCGUCUUGACGGUACCCAAACAAAAAGCCACGGCUAACUUCGUG